Molecule: ribosomal RNA, 397 nt
Filed under: uncultured bacterium
Lineage: Bacteria
Description: partial 16S ribosomal RNA
Rfam family: Bacterial small subunit ribosomal RNA
Source: RNAcentral
AUACGUAGGGGGCGAGCGUUGUCCGGAAUGAUUGGGCGUAAAGGGCGCGUAGGCGGCGCGGCAAGUCUGGAGUGAAAGUCCUGCUUUCAAGGUGGGAAUUGCUUUGGAUACUGCCGCGCUUGAGUGCAGGAGAGGUUAUCGGAAUUCCCGGUGUAGCGGUGAAAUGCGUAGAGAUCGGGAGGAACACCAGUGGCGAAGGCGGGUAACUGGACUGCAACUGACGCUGAGGCGCGAAAGUGUGGGGAGCAAACAGGACUAGAUACCCUGGUAGUCCACACUGUAAACGAUGAAUGCUAGGUGUAAGAGGUAUCGACCCCUUUUGUGCCGGAGUCAACACAAUAAGCAUUCCGCCUGGGGAGUACGGCCGCAAGGUUGAAACUCAAAGGAAUUGACGGGG